This 365-nucleotide unclassified non-coding RNA is filed under the name soil metagenome. Its description in RNAcentral is "partial contains 5.8S ribosomal RNA, internal transcribed spacer 2, and large subunit ribosomal RNA". The stretch from base 1 to 120 matches the Rfam family "5.8S ribosomal RNA", at positions 35 to 154 of the family's 154-position model. The record is from RNAcentral.
GAUGAAGAACGUAGCGAAACGCGAUAGUUAAUGUGAAUUGCAGAAUUCAGUGAAUCAUCGAGUCUUUGAACGCACAUUGCGCCCAUUGGUAUUCCAUUGGGCAUGUCUGUUUGAGCGUCAUUACAACAUCUCAGCGUAUAAAGCUGGUUAUGGGCUUCUGUCUUUUGGUAAAAAAACUAAAAAAUAGGCCUAAAAGUUAGUAUGCUCUGCAGGCUGCUUUGCCAAACCAAAACAUAGUAAUUAUUCUUUGUUUCAAGUAAGGCUUUGCACGCUCUGCCUGAAGAAAAAAAAUCUUUUUUAAAAAGGUUUGACCUCAGAUCAGACAAGGAUACCCGCUGAACUUAAGCAUAUCAAUAAGCGGAGGA